GACGAACCGUGCGAACGUUGUUCGGAAUCACUGGGCUUAAAGGGCGCGUAGGCGGGCAAUCAAGUCAGGGGUGAAAUCCUCCGGCUCAACCGGAGAACUGCCUUUGAUACUGGUCGUCUCGAGUGAGGUAGGGGCAUGCGGAACUGAUGGUGGAGCGGUGAAAUGUGUUGAUAUCAUCAGGAACUCCGGUGGCGAAAGCGGCGUGCUGGACCUCAACUGACGCUGAUGCGCGAAAGCUAGGGGAGCGAACGGG
RNAcentral lists this ribosomal RNA (253 nucleotides) under uncultured bacterium. RNAcentral's name for it is "partial 16S ribosomal RNA". It matches the Rfam family "Bacterial small subunit ribosomal RNA", at positions 524 to 776 of the family's 1533-position model. The record is from RNAcentral.